RNAcentral lists this unclassified non-coding RNA (287 nucleotides) under uncultured fungus. RNAcentral describes it as "sequence contains 18S rRNA gene, ITS1, 5.8S rRNA gene". The stretch from base 1 to 52 matches the Rfam family "Eukaryotic small subunit ribosomal RNA", at positions 1780 to 1831 of the family's 1831-position model. The record is from RNAcentral. Lineage: Eukaryota; Fungi.
AAGUAAAAGUCGUAACAAGGUUUCCGUAGGUGAACCUGCGGAAGGAUCAUUAUUGUACAACGGAGGUGUGAGGGCUGUCGCUGACCUUCAAAGGUCGUGCACGCCCAAGCACUUUCAUACAAUCCAUCUCACCCCUUUGUGCAUCACCGCGUGGGUCCCCCUUGCGGGAGGGCUCGCGUUUUCACAUAAAACUCGAUACAGUGUAGAAUGUUCUUUUGCGAUCACACGCAAUCAAUACAACUUUCAACAACGGAUCUCUUGGCUCUCGCAUCGAUGAAGAACGCAGC